Bicyclus anynana (squinting bush brown) is the source of this 449-nucleotide long non-coding RNA. RefSeq lists it as uncharacterized. The record is from RefSeq and is a predicted model, not a curated record. The transcript has 2 exons. NCBI's taxonomy places the organism in Eukaryota, Metazoa, Arthropoda, Insecta, Lepidoptera, Nymphalidae.
GGUUGAAACAAAUGUAGAGAGCUUAUAAAAACGAAUAUUUUUUUUUUCUAAUCUAAAUUAUCAUGUAUCAUUGUACCCUUGUUUGUCCAGUUAUUAUUAGCCUGUGGGUUCAAACUCAAAACUCAACCUCAAAAUUCAAGCAUUAGCACCGUGUCAAGCAUCAAGGAGACAUAAAUCAAGAGCGGGAGCAGCAGCAGAAAAAGCUGAAACCGUGGUGGGUCGACCAACACUGCGCUAUCCGGUGCAGGGUCGCCAUUCCAGCACAUUGGGUUCCCAACGUCCAUCAGCUCUUCGAACCAUGUGGCCUGCCCAUUGCCACUUCAGCUAAGCGACUCGCUGAGCUAUAUCAGUGACUUUGGUUCGUCUGCGGAUCUCCUCAUUUCUGAUUUAUUAUAUUACGAAUUAUUGGAACAAAAUAUCUUUGAUAUUAAUAACUUGAUAGUUACGAA